UACGGAGGGUGCAAGCGUUAAUCGGAAUUACUGGGCGUAAAGGGUGCGUAGGUUGUUAGUUAAGUUAUCUGUGAAAUACCUGGGCUCAACCCAGGAAGGUCAGAUAAGACUGAUUGACUAGAGUAUGGGAGAGGGCAGUGGAAUUUCCGGUGUAGCGGUGAAAUGCGUAGAGAUCGGAAGGAACACCAGUGGCGAAGGCGGCUGCCUGGCCCAAUACUGACACUGAGGCACGAAAGCGUGGGGAGCAAACAGGAUUAGAUACCCUGGUAGUCCACGCUGUAAACGAUGUCAACUAGCUGUUGGUCAUAUGAAUAUGAUUAGUGGCGCAGCUAACGCGAUAAGUUGACCGCCUGGGGAGUACGGUCGCAAGAUUAAA
This 376-nucleotide ribosomal RNA is filed under the name uncultured bacterium. Its description in RNAcentral is "bacterial SSU rRNA". It matches the Rfam family "Bacterial small subunit ribosomal RNA", at positions 524 to 898 of the family's 1533-position model. The record is from RNAcentral.